Molecule: non-coding RNA, 324 nt
Organism: Lupinus albus (white lupine)
Lineage: Eukaryota; Viridiplantae; Streptophyta; Magnoliopsida; Fabales; Fabaceae
Source: the annotation of a GenBank genome assembly
AUGGCUAAAACUUUCAAGUUAUUUUAUGAUAUGGCUCUCUUCUUUUUCCUCUUUAUUCUUAUGAUUAUCGGUGAAGCAAAUACCAUGUCUGACCAAUGCUGAUUGUCCAAUUCAUCAGGUUUGUCGUCGAAAUUGGUGUCAAUUUUUUUAGUCGGUGCAGCAGUAAUGCAUUUCAAAGAGCAUUGGAUUAUACUAUGCAAGUGACUUGAACUUUGUUCAUGUCUCAGAUAUAUUGAGAAUAAUAGUCUUACUAAAUAAUUUUAAUUACCUAGUUCAAUUUAUGAAAGGCAGGUUAUGUAAUAUUUCUUAAGUAGUCAUUUUCUC